This 337-nucleotide unclassified non-coding RNA is filed under the name soil metagenome. RNAcentral describes it as "partial contains 5.8S ribosomal RNA, internal transcribed spacer 2, and large subunit ribosomal RNA". The stretch from base 1 to 120 matches the Rfam family "5.8S ribosomal RNA", at positions 35 to 154 of the family's 154-position model. The record is from RNAcentral.
GAUGAAGAACGCAGCGAAAUGCGAUAAGUAGUGUGAAUUGCAGAAUUCAGUGAAUCAUCGAAUCUUUGAACGCACAUUGCGCCCCUUGGUAUUCCAUGGGGCAUGCCUGUUCGAGCGUCAUUUGUACCUUCAAGCUUUGCUUGGUGUUGGGUGUUUGUCUCGCCUCUGCGUGUAGACUCGCCUCAAAACAAUUGGCGGCCGGCGUAUUGAUUUCGGAGCGCAGUACAUCUCGCGCUUUGCACUCAUAACGACGACGUCCAAAAGUACAUUUUUACACUCUUGACCUCGGAUCAGGUAGGGAUACCCGCUGAACUUAAGCAUAUCAAUAAGCGGAGGA